AUAGACCUAAUACGGAAAAACGUUUUGUUUUCCAUAAACAGUUUCCCAGUGUUGUUCAUUAUCGAACCCUGCCGUCUGCUGUCCCAAACACUCUUGACGUUUCUCUGUGACACUGUGACGUUUAAAGUGAAAAUAUUUUCAUCAUUUGUCAUUUACGAGCAAAAUCAAUUUCUGAGUGCGUCGCUUAUUGUUAUCAGUAAUUUUUUCGCUUUUCCACACAAAAAAUCAAUCAAAUAUUUCGAAAAUGUUGGUCAACAAUUUGUUGCGUCCAAUUGCAAACAACCUUCUUAAGGUUCCAAGCCGUUCAACAUCAGCCGUUUGUGGUGCAAGAAGUCGUCAUGUAUCUGUAGCUGAGAAGACCGUUUUAGUUUCAUGUAUGAUGUGCGCCAUCCUCUUCACGCCAGCCUGGGUCUUGUUACAUUUGGACGAAUAUAAAGGAAAGAGCGAAGAAUAAAUAACAUUUCUCUCAAAAAUCAACAAUUCGAUGGAUGUUUUGCCGUAGUAAAAGAAACUUUAUUUAGAAAGUGAAAAAAAUUGUUCAGAAAAAAUUAACAUCCAAUAAAUAGUAUAAAAUGUA
Contarinia nasturtii (swede midge) is the source of this 577-nucleotide long non-coding RNA. RefSeq lists it as uncharacterized. The transcript has 3 exons. The record is from RefSeq and is a predicted model, not a curated record. Lineage: Eukaryota; Metazoa; Arthropoda; Insecta; Diptera; Cecidomyiidae.